UAUUGGACAAUGGGGGCAACCCUGAUCCAGCCAUGCCGCGUGUGUGAAGAAGGCCUUCGGGUUGUAAAGCACUUUAAGUGGGGAGGAAGGGGUGAUUAUUAAUACUGAUCAUCAUUGACGCUACCCACAGAAUAAGCACCGGCUAACUCUGUGCCAGCAGCCGCGGUAAUACAGAGGGUGCAAGCGUUAAUCGGAAUUACUGGGCGUAAAGCGCGCGUAGGCGGCUGAUUAAGUCGGGUGUGAAAGCCCCGGGCUCAACCUGGGAAUUGCAUCCGAUACUGAUUGGCUAGAGUAUGAGAGAGGGAGGUAGAAUUCCACGUGUAGCGGUGAAAUGCGUAGAUAUGUGGAGGAAUACCGGUGGCGAAGGCGGCCUCCUGGCUUAAUACUGACGCUAAGGUGCGAAAGCGUGGGGAUCAAACAG
This 421-nucleotide ribosomal RNA is filed under the name uncultured bacterium. Its description in RNAcentral is "bacterial SSU rRNA". It matches the Rfam family "Bacterial small subunit ribosomal RNA", at positions 362 to 775 of the family's 1533-position model. The record is from RNAcentral.